Molecule: transfer RNA, 75 nt
Filed under: Parcubacteria group bacterium CG10_big_fil_rev_8_21_14_0_10_35_15
Lineage: Bacteria
Description: tRNA-Val
Rfam family: tRNA
About the family: Transfer RNA (tRNA) molecules are approximately 80 nucleotides in length. Their secondary structure includes four short double-helical elements and three loops (D, anti-codon, and T loops).
Source: RNAcentral
GGGCGGUUAGCUCAGUGGUAGAGCAUCGUCUUGACGUGACGAGGGUCAUAGGUUCAAAUCCUAUACCGCCCACCC